RNAcentral lists this ribosomal RNA (836 nucleotides) under uncultured bacterium. RNAcentral's name for it is "bacterial SSU rRNA". It matches the Rfam family "Bacterial small subunit ribosomal RNA", at positions 20 to 835 of the family's 1533-position model. The record is from RNAcentral.
UGGCUCAGAAUCAACGCUGGCGGCGUGCCUAACACAUGCAAGUCGAACGCGAAAGUGGAGCAAUCCAUGAGUAGAGUGGCAAACGGGUGAGUAACACGUGGGCGACCUACCUCAGAGUGGGGGAUAACCUUCCGAAAGGAGGGCUAAUACCGCAUGACAUCCCGUGUUUGGAUACACGGAGAUCAAAGCCGGGGAUCGCAAGACCUGGCGCUUGGAGAGGGGCCCGCGUCCGAUUAGCUAGUUGGUGAGGUAAUGGCUCACCAAGGCUCCGAUCGGUAUCCGGCCUGAGAGGGCGGACGGACACACUGGAACUGAGACACGGUCCAGACUCCUACGGGAGGCAGCAGUGGGGAAUUGUUCGCAAUGGGCGAAAGCCUGACGACGCAACGCCGCGUGGAGGAUGAAGAAUUUCGGUUCGUAAACUCCUUUCGACCGAGAUGAACACCCCGCAACUUAAUACGUUGUGGGACUGACAGUAUCGAGAGAAGAAGCCCCGGCUAACUCUGUGCCAGCAGCCGCGGUAAUACAGGGGGGGCAAGCGUUGUUCGGAAUUACUGGGCGUAAAGGGUUCGUAGGUGGCCAACUAAGUCAGAUGUGAAAUCCCUCAGCUUAACUGGGGAACUGCUUCUGAUACUGGUUGGCUUGAGUGCAGGAGAGGAAUGCGGAAUUCCAGGUGUAGCGGUGAAAUGCGUAGAUAUCUGGAGGAACGCCGGUGGCGAAGGCGGCAUUCUGGACUGUAACUGACACUGAGGAACGAAAGCCAGGGGAGCAAACGGGAUUAGAUACCCCGGUAGUCCUGGCCCUAAACGAUGAAUGCUUGGUGUGGCGGGUAUCGA